UACAGAGGGUGCGAGCGUUGUCCGGAAUCACUGGGCGUAAAGGGCGCGUAGGUGGCGGCCCAAGUCCAUGGUGAAAGCUCGAUGCUCAACAUCGAGUCGGCCACGGAUACUGGGUUGCUCGAGCACUGUAGGGGCAGAUGGAAUUCCGGGUGUAGCGGUGGAAUGCGUAGAGAUCCGGAAGAACACCGGUGGCGAAGGCGGUCUGCUGGGCAGUUGCUGACACUGAGGCGAGACAGCGUGGGGAGCAAACAGG
This 253-nucleotide ribosomal RNA is filed under the name uncultured bacterium. Its description in RNAcentral is "partial 16S ribosomal RNA". It matches the Rfam family "Bacterial small subunit ribosomal RNA", at positions 524 to 776 of the family's 1533-position model. The record is from RNAcentral.